RNAcentral lists this ribosomal RNA (460 nucleotides) under uncultured bacterium. Its description in RNAcentral is "partial 16S ribosomal RNA". It matches the Rfam family "Bacterial small subunit ribosomal RNA", at positions 338 to 795 of the family's 1533-position model. The record is from RNAcentral.
CCUACGGGUGGCAGCAGUGAGGAAUAUUGGUCAAUGGACGAGAGUCUGAACCAGCCAAGCCGCGUGAAGGAUGACUGUGCUAUGGGUUGUAAACUUCUUUUAUAUGGGAAUAAAAUGUUGCUCGUGUGGGUUUCUGUAUGUACCAUAUGAAUAAGGAUCGGCUAACUCCGUGCCAGCAGCCGCGGUAAUACGGAGGAUCCGAGCGUUAUCCGGAUUUAUUGGGUUUAAAGGGAGCGUAGGCGGAUUGUUAAGUCAGUUGUGAAAGUGUGCGGCUCAACCGUAAGAUUGCAGUUGAAACUGGCAGUCUUGAGUACAGUAGAGGUGUGCGGAAUGCGUGGUGUAGCGGUGAAAUGCUUAGAUAUCACGAAGAACUCCGAUUGCGAAGGCAGCUCACUGGACUGCAACUGACACUGAGGCUCGAAAGUGUGGGUAUCAAACAGGAUUAGAUACCCUAGUAGUC